This is a long non-coding RNA of Ictalurus punctatus (channel catfish), 384 nucleotides long. The record is from Ensembl. Lineage: Eukaryota; Metazoa; Chordata; Actinopteri; Siluriformes; Ictaluridae.
GACAGACAGAUAGAUAGAGACAGAGAGAGAGAAUGAAAGACAGAGAGAGAGUUAGAGAGAGACAGACAGAUAGAGAGAGACAGAGAGAGAGAAUGAAAGACAGAGAGAGAGGUAGAGAGAGGAGACAGACAGAUAGAGAGAGACAGAGAGAGAGAAUGAAAGACAGAGAGAGAGGUAGAGAGAGACAGACAGAUAGAGAGAGACAGAGAGAGAGAGAAUGAAAGACAGAGAGAGAGGUAGAGAGAGACAGACAGAUAGAGAGAGACAGAGAGAGAGAAUGAAAGACAGAGAGAGGUAGAGAGAGAGAGACAGACAGAUAGAGAGAGACAGAGAGAGAGAAUGAAGACAGAGAGAGAUUUACUAGUUAUUUUAAUGGUCUUGUAA